UACCUAUUUUUUUUUUUUUUUUUUUUUCUGAGACAGGGUCUCACUCUGUCAACCAGGCUGGAGUGCAGUGGUGCAAUCUCAGCUCACUGCAACCUCCAGCUCCCGGGCUCAAGGGAUCCUCUUGCCUCGGCCUCCUGAGUACCUGGGAUUACAGAUCAAUUCGUGGGCAAAAGCAACAUAGUAGCAAAUUCACUUUCUACCUAUUCUUGGAUGACUCCCCAAACAAUAUUAUCUACAGCCCAGACGUUUCUAAGCUCCAGGCCCCACCGCACACCAGGCAUCUCUACUUGAUUGUCUACAUCCUUCUGGCUUGCUGUGUUUCAGACUGAACUUCCUCCUAUAUUCUUCUCAGAGAAGGGCUCUACCAUCUGCUGAAUUGCUCAAAUUUGAUUCCCUUCCCCGCAUCCAGCAGUUGCUCUUUCUUGUCCAUUCUGUUUCUUGUCUCUUGAAUCCACCCCCAUCACAUGGUCCCACCUGCCUCUCCCCUAGGCCAGGCCCGUGCCACCUUUUCCCCAGACUCUUCCUGCAGCUUUACUCUGCCAAUCAACUGAAUGGCUUAUUUUUAUUCUUGUGGUAAAAUACACGUAACAUAAAACUUAUCAUCUUAACCCUCCAAUUCAUUUUUGACAUUACUCCUGGAGUGACUUUUCAAAGCAUAAAUUUAGUUAUGUCUCAUCUUCCCAAACGUCUUUGGAAGUUCCCAUCACCUGUAGAAUAAAAUCCCUAACCUGACAUAUGAGCUUUCCUAAUUUCCCUGGACUAAUUUUCUCAUUAUAUCACACCCUGCUGUUGCACCCUGCACUCUCAGCAUCUUUGUGCUUCAUCCAGUGCAACAUGCUGGUUCCUACCUCCUUGCCAGUGCGCCUGCAGCUCCUUCUGAACUGAAUGCGACACCCACCUUCAAUGUGCCUUAACAGAUCCUUACUAGUUUUUCGUACCUUAGUUCAAGGUUCCUUCCUCUGUGAAACCUGGACUCACCCAAUUGGACCUUGACAUAUCUCACCUUACACCAUUUCUACUGUAUGUUGACUUCAGAGGUAGCACUUGAUUUCAUAAGGCUCUAGGCUUAAAUGAGACAUGUCACAAGUUGUGUUCUUCCAAAGCCGCCCGUUUUUGUCUUUUUGAAUAGCAUGGUUUAAAUUUCUAAUGGGUUGAAUUCACCUCUGAUGCAUUUGUGAAGCAAUAAGUUAAAUUCUGCAGAUAAAAUGCCUGCAAGUCAGCCUCCUCCUUCAAAAUGGCUGAAGACAAGUAUACAUCAAUAUUGUAGUUUUCAUAAAUGCUAUUCAUGUGAAUGAAAAGGAAAUAUGUUCACCUUUCAGGGAUCACAUGUGACUCUGGAAGGGUAUUUUCUGUGGCUGAGCACAGCUUUGAUUAUUUGAGGAUUUAGGUCUGAUGCAUCCGAUAAGGCUGCCAGUACUUGUAUAUUAUGGAAGAUGUCAUGUUGAUUUCUAUUGAUUGCUUGUCUCCCCAGUAGAAAGUAAACUCCUUUAGACUAAAGACCAUGUCUUUCUAUUAUAUACCUAGCAGCCAGAGUGGUAACUGCUAAUGCUAAAUGCCUAAUAUAUACUAGCUGAAUGAAAAAAGUGACCUUUUAGUAUUUCUUUUUCUUAACUUUUUCUUUUUCUGGGUCAGAAAGAAAACAAGUAGUAUUGAGGAUCCUCAGAAUAGGAAAUGCAAAUACUGCAUUCCAAUUAUUGGCAGGGACAUGAAGAAUAUCUGUUUCUAUAGUAAGGAGGAGUUAGGGUCCAAAAUAGAAACAGAAGUGAUACCCUGGCUAAAGAUGUACACAAAGUUCACAACUGGGUAAGGAAGCUGAAAUCCAAAUGCCAAUUUACUAAUGUGAGGAAAAAUGAGGGUAACUUACUAUGUUGUAGGGGAAAUUAUUAAGUAACAUGCAUGUGAAAUGUACCUUAUAACAGGUUCUGUAUUUUUAAAGGGAUAUAAUUAUGUGUUCAUGCAUAUUUGAGAAUUUUAUUACGUUGUGUUUUAUUAGUGGAACUAAAUCAGUAGAAUUAGAUAAACCUGACACACAAUAAGAUGUUUCAAUCAACAAGAUACUUGGGAUGCAGAGAAAGUGACUAUUUAGGUAAGAUAUUCUUGCAACCCCAAGAGAGGUAAACCAGACCACAGGUGGAAGUCUGGCAAGUAGGAGCCAUGAACUGCCUUGAGGGAGUUGGAAGCAGCUUUAAGACACUAUGAAGAAGGGCUCAACUUGUCCACAAAAUGUUUUAGGUCUACCAGUUUGAGAACUGCAGGACACACACCUGCACUUUGUUCCUCCCUCUGUUGUUGCCAUUGGUGAAAAUAAACCAAGUGCUCUCGACCACACAUUGCUUCACCCAUCUUUCUUAUCAGCAGUGCUACACAGAAGCAAUCCAUGGCCAGGAGAGUUUUCAUUUUCUUAAUGGCUUUUGCGUACACUGGGUUUACAAAUACUUAUGGCAGUUCACUAACUUAACCAACGUCCCUGCUCAUGCCACCACCAAAGAGUUGAAUUCAAAUGGAAGGAGAAAGAAUAGGUGGUCAACAGGUUCAGUAAUGAAAGAUGCCAUGUUGGGCAAGAACCAUAGUAAGGGACUAAAGGGCUGGGGGAUGGAAUGAGGAGUUUAGAAUCAGGGAAACAGUAGAUCAGCAGGUCAGAACAGGAGAGUGCAGUGAGGUCCCGAGAGGCCACCAUCCCACCCCAGCUACCAUGCAUGGAUUUUUCCCCAUGAGCCAUCCCAGGUGAACUGUUUGGGUGUCUAGCUGACUGACCCAAAGGGCUAGAAGUGAAGUGGCCAGGAGCAAUAGUUGCCAGAACCGAUGGUAAGAACGGUGGUAGAAACACCAGUGCAGUAGCUAGUUCUGUCCCCUAAGAGUUUGUUUUAUGUAGGAUCUAACAAAACAGGCAAGCAAUAUAACCAAGAAGUAUUUAUUAAGCAAUCUUCUGUGCUAAGUAAAGAAGGCUCUUGCCAGGCGCGGUGGCUCACACCUGUAAUCCCAGCACUUUGGGAGGCCGAGGUGGGUGGAUCACUUGAGGUCAGGAGUUCGGAACCAGUCUGGCCAACAUGGUGAAACUCCAUCUCUACCAAAAAAAUACAAAAAUUAGUUGGGCAUGGUGGCACACACCUGUAGUGGCAGUUAUUCAAGAGGCUGAGGUGGAAGGAUCACUUGAGCCCAGGAGGUCGAGGCUGCAGUGAGCCAAGAUUGUGCCACUGCACUCUAGCCUGGGUGACAGAGUGAGCCCCUAUCUCAAUAAAUAAAUAAAUAAGGCUCUUUAGGUAUCCUUAAUGCCUAGUGUAGUCCCUGGCGUUUUAGUAGGGCUCCAUAAAUAUUUGAAUCUAUUUGAAAGAUUCAAAUGGAUUAUGGAAACAAGACGAUAGCAAAUUAAGUAAAGUGGCAGCAUUUUUUUUUUUAACUUUUAAAUUCAGGUAUAGCAUGCACAUAGGCUUUCAAUGAACUUUUACAAAAUGAACACACCUAUAUAACCACCACCUAGAUCAAGAACUGUUUUACCAUCACCCCAAAAGUGUCACCUUGCGAAGAUAACCACUAUUACCACCAUCUCAUAGUUUGUUUCUAAUUUGGUCUGAGUGGAAUCAUACAUUAUGCAUUUUUGUGUCUGGUAUCUUUCAGUCAACAUUGUUUUUGAGAUAUUUAUCUCUGUAUGGCUAUAAUUCAUAGUAUUCCAUUGUUUAUAACAAAAUUUACCUAAUGUUGAUGUUCACUUGCGUUGUUUCUAAUUCAGGGCUAUUACAAAUAAAGCUUCUAUAAUGUG
Long non-coding RNA from Pan troglodytes (chimpanzee), 3757 nucleotides. RefSeq lists it as uncharacterized. The transcript is spliced from 3 exons. Lineage: Eukaryota; Metazoa; Chordata; Mammalia; Primates; Hominidae. The record is from RefSeq and is a predicted model, not a curated record.